Molecule: ribosomal RNA, 213 nt
Filed under: Cryptosporidium felis
Lineage: Eukaryota; Apicomplexa; Conoidasida; Eucoccidiorida; Cryptosporidiidae
Description: partial small subunit ribosomal RNA
Rfam family: Eukaryotic small subunit ribosomal RNA
Source: RNAcentral
UAAGUAUAAACCCCUUUGCAAGUAACAAUUGGAGGGCAAGUCUGGUGCCAGCAGCCGCGGUAAUUCCAGCUCCAAUAGCGUAUAUUAAAGUUGUUGCAGUUAAAAAGCUCGUAGUUGGAUUUCUGUUAAUACCUUAUAUAUAAUAUUUUUUUUUAAAUAUUAUUAUGUAAGAUUAACAUAAUUCAUAUUUUUUAAGACUGAAUUUUUAGUUUU